This 253-nucleotide ribosomal RNA is filed under the name uncultured bacterium. RNAcentral describes it as "partial 16S ribosomal RNA". It matches the Rfam family "Bacterial small subunit ribosomal RNA", at positions 524 to 776 of the family's 1533-position model. The record is from RNAcentral.
UACGGGGGGAGCGAACGUUGUUCGGAAUCACUGGGCGUAAAGGGCGUGUAGGCGGUUCGGUAAGUGGAAUGUGAAAUCCCCCGGCUUACCCGGGGAACUGCAUCCCAUACUGCUGGACUUGAGUGCGGGAGAGGAUGGAGGAAUUCCUGGUGUAGCGGUGAAAUGCGUAGAUAUCAGGAAGAACACCCGUGGCGAAAGCGGCUCUCUGGGACGGUACUGACGCUGAGACGCGAAAGCGUGGGGAGCGAACAGG